CACUUGGGGAUAACCUUGCGAAAGUAAGACUAAUACCCAAUGACGUCUCUAGAAGACAUCUGAAGGAGAUUAAAGAUUUAUCGGUGAUGGAUGGGGAUGCGUCUGAUUAGCUUGUUGGCGGGGUAACGGCCCACCAAGGCUACGAUCAGUAGGGGUUCUGAGAGGAAGGUCCCCCACAUUGGAACUGAGACACGGUCCAAACUCCUACGGGAGGCAGCAGUGAGGAAUAUUGGUCAAUGGACGAGAGUCUGAACCAGCCAAGUAGCGUGCAGGAUGACGGCCCUAUGGGUUGUAAACUGCUUUUAUAAGGGGAAUAAAGUGAGUCUCGUGAGACUUUUUGCAUGUACCUUAUGAAUAAGGACCGGCUAAUUCCGUGCCCCCCCCCCCGCGGUAAUACGGAAGGUCCGGGCGUUAUCCGGAUUUAUUGGAUAUAAAGGGAGCGUAGGCCGGAGAUUAAGCGUGUUGUGAAAUGUAGAUGCUCAACAUCUGAACUGCAGCGCGAACUGGUUUCCUUGAGUACGCACAAAGUGGGCGGAAUUCGUGGUGUAGCGGUGAAAUGCUUAGAUAUCACGAAGAACUCCGAUUGCGAAGGCAGCUCACUGGAGCGCAACUGACGCUGAAGCUCGAAAGUGCGGGUAUCGAACAGGAUUAGAUACCCUGGUAG
RNAcentral lists this ribosomal RNA (664 nucleotides) under uncultured bacterium. Its description in RNAcentral is "bacterial SSU rRNA". It matches the Rfam family "Bacterial small subunit ribosomal RNA", at positions 134 to 793 of the family's 1533-position model. The record is from RNAcentral.